GCGAGAAAUAAAUAACGGGAAUUACUCUUCAAGUAUCGUUGCACUUAAUUGGAGAUCCGAAUCAUCCGACACGGGAAUACAACAUUUGGCGACGAGGAUGAUCUCAUCUUUAGUACGGAAAAAAGAGAAACUAAGUGCUAACUAGCGUGAUACAAGCGAUACUAUCAAAGGGUAGUAGCUAUCGAAAGGAUAGCGAUCAGACUAAGUCACCUGCGAGUGGCAGCUGAUAGCCAGCGAGAUCAAAGCCAUUUGAAAAGAGCAGCUAGAGCGAAAGCGAAACUAUCUACCAGAAGGUAGAGGCUCCGAAGGGCCGGGAAGCUUAAACAUUGAAAGUUGAUCGAUUGUAACGUGUGGUACGAUGGAGAAAUGGGCCAUCCCCCAGUUCAAGUAUAAGUCAUUGCCGAGAAACGCCAUUCGUGAUGAAUGGGUGAAAUAUAAGCGAAAUUUUGGUUAUAUUAUAUCGGCUACGAAUGAAAAAGACAAAACGAGCAUACGGAAUAUUUUGCUGGCAAAGGGUGGCCCAGAAUCCAGAGGAAUCGCUGGGGAAAUUCAUGCCCUGCUGUUAGGACCAAGCAAAUUAAUGCAAUUUCGGGAAAUCAGCCGAAGAAAGCAGAUCAAUCAGCGUGAUCGACAAAGUGAUUCUUUUCGCACCAAGUGAGCUUAAGGAACAAUUACUCCAACGUGAUUCAUUGUGUCUUGAUGAAGUUACCAAAAUUGUAACCACGUAUGAAUCCGUAAAACAGCAGGUCCGAUCAGUCAGCAUUCCUACAACAAGCUCUGAAAACUUCUCGACAGCAUACGGAAAUAUCAACAGGAUUCAGCAAUCACAUGCAAAAGAAUGCACGCGAUGUGGUCGUAAAGGACAUUUUGGAACGUUUUAUGUCCUGCUAAAGAAAAGGAGUGUAACAAAUGUAAACGGAUUGGGCAUUUUGCUACCCAAUGUCGCACCAAUUUUGCAUCCAAGCGGAAAUAUGAUGGACCGUUUCGUAGUGGCAAACGCUUCCAAACUGAUCGUAUCAACAAGGUCGAGAUUCACAGAGGUGAUGACCACAAAGAAGGCGUAUGUUCGGACAAUAAUUUCAUUUUCCGUAUCAGUGAAGGUGACGAACGUUUGGAAUCAACAAAAGAAGUGUGACGAGGUUUUCUAACCAUACGGCGAUCAAGCGAACCCGUUAACGCUACUAGGCAAGUUUGAAACACUAGUACACAUUGAAUACGCGGGUCGUACUUACGAGAAGGACACCACAUUCUACGUAGUAAAAGGUGGACAGCAAUGUUUACUAGGUCGGACCAGAGUUUUUAAUAGUAGAGUUGCGUAGAGAGGAUUGGUAACAUUGGACCAAUCAUUGGUCUUUUUUAAAUUUUGGCAACCUUUUAUUUUUAGUUAAAUUUCAAAUGACUUAACCCGAACGCUUCAGUUAGAAGUUAACUUUGUGCAUUUAAAAAUUUAAAAUUAAGUGUUCAGUUUUAUUUUGUAAAAAUCAGUACGAUAAAUAACAUCGUAUAAAGAAUUUAAGCUUUUUCCGGUUCUCUCCUGAACCGCAACUAAGAACGAAAUGCAUUGAUUUUUGCCGCUGAUUGGGGUGUGACAAAAAAACAGUCGAAUUUGCAGCGUAAGAUAAAUAAGUGUAUAAGUAUAGUAUAAGUGGAAUGCAUACACAAAUUUGUCAAAAUUUUAGCUGCACUUUAACUAUGAGAAAUACCUUCAUAUUUCCACUGUCGGUGGAAGAGCUGUUCCGGUGUUUAAAAUAGUGCCAAAUUUGAAUAUCAGUGAACAUAUAUUUUUUAAUAAUUGUCAUUAAGCAAAAUAUUAACAUUAUUAAAAUGUUAAUAUUACAUCAUUGAAUUUUUUCUCAUAAUUAUAAUCACAUAAUAACGAUACUCCCCACGCAUUCGAGCAUUGUUAUUCUUCGUGUCCAAUAGGUAGACGUUUUGAGUGUUCAAUAGGUAGAUUUGCUUCAGUCUUUGCGCAACUGUUCUUUAUAAACUUUGUGUCGGACAACUGCCACAGAUCUAGGGGUGUUGUUUGUCGGGUUACCAAGUACUUAUGGAGUAGCAAUGCCAGAAACCAGCACGAAACACCCGUUUCCCAAGAUCAAAGGAGUGAAGGUUUGUAUUCCCAUCGAUCUCUCGAUCACGCAGGUCUGCCAACAUCCCUGAAAACCACCAAUUGCGCUUACGUCCAGAAUAGAGGAGAAGUUUAAUGCAUUACUAGCGAACGACAUCAUUGAGCCUGUUGAAGGAGGAUGCCAAUGUUACUGUAGUGAAAGAUAAUAGGGAUUUACGUUUGUGCGUGGAUAUGCGUAGGGCGAAAGCUGUCAUUCUAAGAGAGAGACAUUUGAUGCCUACGAUCGAGGAUUUCCUUCCUAGAUUUACCGGUGCAAAGUUUUUUAGCAGGCUAGACAUAACAGAGGCUUUUCAUCAAGUUGAAUAGGAAGAAGCCAGUCGAUAUAUAACUACGUUUAUCACGCUCAUGGGUUUAUUUCGAAACAAGCGCCUCAUGUACGGAAUCGUCAUAGCACCGGAAAUUUUCCAGCGCAUUCUUGAACAGAUACUCAGUCGCUGCGGUAAAUUUGCUGUCUAUUUCAUCGACGAUAUUUUAAUCUUUACUGAAACAAUGGAAGAACACGAAGCGCUGAAAGUUGUCCUUUCUACGCUCCGUGGAUACAGAAUGCUGCUGAACAAGGACAAAUGUGUGUUCAAGGUUACGAUGUUGGAUUUUCUGGGUCACACAAUCUCGUCAGAACGCAUUCAGCCUUCGGAUAACAAAAUCGAAGCUCUGAAAAGCCAGGAAGAACUACGAAGCUUUCUUGGUCUUGUGACCUACGUAGGACGAUUUCUACCUGAUCUUGCGACCACUACUGCACCUUUGCGGCACUAACGCACACUGGGGUCAAAUUUCUGUGAGGAAAAGAUCAGCACCAAUCGUUUACAAAACUAAAGGAAAUGAUUGCUAAUGUUAAGUUAUUGUGAUUCUUCGAUAACUCUACGAACACGUGUCAUUGCUAAUGCUUCACCCAUGGCUCUCGGUGCCGUUCUGAUACAAUUUGAAGGUUCAACUGAUGAUGCCCCUCGCCCGAUUGCAUACUCGAGUAAAAGCCUUACACAAACUGAGCGCAGAUACUGUCAAACCGAGAAGGAAGCCCUCGCGUUGGUUUGGACAGUCAAGCGUUUUUCUUGUUACCUGCUGGGUCGUACCUUCGAACUGGAAACGGAUCACAAGCCGCUAGAAGCGAUAUUCAAACCAACGUCCAGACCCUGUUCUAGAAUCGAUGGGUGCUUCGUUUGCAAUCCUCAAUCUUUUUCAUUCACCGUAAAAUAUCGUAAAGGUUCCAGAAACAUUGCUGAUCCGUUGUCUCGACUAGUUGUUGACGAUACCCCCGAAGAAUUUGAUGUCGAAAAUAAGUUUAUGGUGCUGGCGGUCAUGGAAUCAGCAGCAAUCGAUAUUCAAGAGCUACAGGAAUCAAUGGAAGCAGAUUCAACACUAGCAGCAGUGAAGAAGUGUCUGCACACAGGAUCCUGGAAUGAAUCGGAAGUUAAACCGUACGUACCAUUUAGAGGCGAGCUAGGAAUGGUAGGUGACCUACUUGUCCGUGGCGAUAAACUUGUCGUCCCGUUCAGACUGCACUCCAGGAUGAUGGAUUUGGCUCACCAGAGGGCACCCCGGCGAAUCUGUCAUGAAGCGGCGUCUUAGGAAUCGAGUUUGGUGGCCUGGUAUGGAUUGCGAGGUCACUAAUCGAGUUGCGAGUUGCGGAGGCUGCCGUCUAGUUUCUGUACCAAAUAAGCCCGAACCGAUGUCACGACGACCACUGCCAUUGACUUCCUUGGACCGAUGCCGAGCGGUGUGUACUUACUGGUUGUCAUCGACUACUAUAGUCGCUACAAAGAAGUAGUGGUUGCGCACAAAAUUACGGCCAAGGAAACUGUUACCAAACUACACACCAUUUUCACUCGUCUGGGUAACCCAGAACAAUAACGCGAAACAGUUUGUGGGUACUGAGAUAGAAGAAUACAGUCAAAGUCGCGGUAUCCACUUAAACCACUCGACACCAUACUGGCCCUAAGAGAACGGGUUGGUGGAAAGGCAAAGCCGGUCACUGCUCAAGCGACUUCAAAUUAGCAAUGCUCUUGGUAGAGAUUGGCGUAAAGAUUUACAAGAGUACUUGAUGAUGUACUACACCACACCGCAUUCUACAACUGGACGCACACCCACGGAACUCCUGUACGGUAAAACCAUCAGAUCCAAAAUUCCAGAUCUGCAGGAUAUUGAAACAACGCCAACCACCUCUGAUGUUGCAGACAGAGAUCAAAUGUUGAAAGAAAAGGGGAAAGAAAAUGAGGACUCUCGUGGAAGAGCAAGGAAACCGUCAGUUGAUCUUGGAGACACUGUGUUAAUGAAAAAUCUGUUACCAGGCAAUUAGCUCCAAACAACAUUCGACCCCAAAGAAUACAAGGUCGUUGAUCGUUCGGGACCACGAGUAACAAUUGAAGACCCCUUAAAUGGAAGAUCGUAUGACCGAAACGUGGCACAUUUGAAAAAAGUUAUUGAUAUAACACAGGCACACAUUGAAGCUCCAGUCCACAAUGAGGACUCUCAGCGAGCAGAGUUACAAGAAGCAGGAGACGACAAUUCAGAGGAGGGUUUCGAAGGUUUCGAUGAAGAUGCAUCAUCAGUUACAGUAUCAUCACAUCGGUCACCAACUAGAGAGCAACGAUCCAGGAAACUGCCUUUGAAAUUCCAUGAUUAUCAGUUAUGAAUUCUUAAUUUGUUAAAAGGGGAGAUGUGGUGCCCAAGUCCGGCACUGGGAAAAUACCUUGUAGAGUAUGCAGAGUACGGGCCUGGUGGGAUGAACUGUCAGUGUGGUUUAGAUAUGCGAGAAAUAAAUAACGGGAAUUACUUUUCAA
This is a long non-coding RNA of Topomyia yanbarensis, 4905 nucleotides long. RefSeq lists it as uncharacterized. The record is from RefSeq and is a predicted model, not a curated record. Lineage: Eukaryota; Metazoa; Arthropoda; Insecta; Diptera; Culicidae. The transcript has 2 exons.